AGAACGAACGCUGGCGGCAGGCUUAACACAUGCAAGUCGAACGCUCCUAGCAAUAGGGGAGUGGCGCACGGGUGAGUAACACGUGGGAACAUGCCUUUCAGUACGGGAUAACAGUUGGAAACGACUGCUAAUACCGUAUAUUCCCUCCGGGGGAAAGAUUUAUCGCUGAAAGAUUGGCCCGCGUUAGAUUAGGUAGUUGGUGGGGUAAUGGCCUACCAAGCCUACGAUCUAUAGCUGGUCUGAGAGGACGACCAGCCACACUGGAACUGAGACACGGUCCAGACUCCUACGGGAGGCAGCAGUGGGGAAUAUUGGACAAUGGGCGCAAGCCUGAUCCAGCCAUGCCGCGUGAGUGAUGAAGGCCUUAGGGUUGUAAAGCUCUUUUGUGAGGGAAGAUAAUGACGGUACCUCAAGAAUAAGCACCGGCUAACUUCGUGCCAGCAGCCG
RNAcentral lists this ribosomal RNA (447 nucleotides) under uncultured bacterium. RNAcentral's name for it is "SSU rRNA". It matches the Rfam family "Bacterial small subunit ribosomal RNA", at positions 26 to 517 of the family's 1533-position model. The record is from RNAcentral.